This 311-nucleotide long non-coding RNA is filed under the name Olea europaea subsp. europaea. The record is from RNAcentral. Lineage: Eukaryota; Viridiplantae; Streptophyta; Magnoliopsida; Lamiales; Oleaceae.
AUUAUGAACUAUUUCGACCAAGGAAACUAGAUGGUUUGGUCAAAAUGAAUUCUUGUUUUGACUAAACAGUCAUGGAUGACUUGAUAAUUUCAAUUCGAAUCAACCCAUAUGGUAUAUUUUCCACGUUCAUAGGAGUGCGUCUAUGUUUUGCUUUACGUAUAUGAUAUUUUUUGGGCAUUUCUAAUAAUAUCAAGUCUUAUUCCUAUUUUGGCAUUUUUCAUUUUCGGGAUUUUAGCCCCGAUUAGGAAAGGGCCAGAGAAACUUUCUAAUUAUGAAUCGGGAAUAGAACCAGUGAGCGACGCUUUCAAAUA